This 526-nucleotide ribosomal RNA is filed under the name uncultured archaeon. RNAcentral describes it as "partial 16S ribosomal RNA". The record is from RNAcentral.
AACACUCUCGUUCUCGGGCCUCUACCUAAGACUCUGUACUUAGGUCCGGGAUGCCCCGCGUCGUCCGCGCUUUUGAAAUGUUACGCCCUUUGGAACUAUUCCCCUGUGGGUCACGGGCGAAGUAUACCCCCGCCAGGUCUACACAUUUUUUGUGGACAAUCGUUCCCGGCCCGUUCUGGCCACGGUCGGCGGCGCCAUUGUGGCCGCCGGGCUCACCACUAGUACUAAUAACCCGGAUUUCGCAGGCAUCGGCCGAACCAUUCAGAAGGCCCUUUAGGGUGUCGAGUUGAUAACCCGAAAGCCCCCUAUGAUAGUCCGAACCUCGGCCCUCUCCAUUCUCCAUGAGGGCCCCAUCCUCACUUUAGAAUAUUAGGGCCCUCCUGGUGGACACCGCUUCCGCAGGUCGACCUUGCCUGGACUGCCACUCAUUGCUUUCGGUCCCCGCGCUUGGCCUAAUCUAUGGGCCCAUCAGGACCGGCAUUUGCUCGCCUGUCCACAGCCCUUCCGAGGCUCGACGAGGUCACGG